AGUCUAUUUUGACUAUUUGUAAACCAAAAUUAGAAAUGUUUUACAAGAAGCCGUCUUAAUCCCUUCUUCACGUUCUAAUAGUGCCGUGAUGGGUAAAAGGGCCCCUGACACUCGGUGAUUCCCUGCCUGGUCAGCAUCCUACAGCUUAGUUUCAAAGGGAUUUUGUUCAGUGGAACAGCUGGGAUCUGGGGUUAUGAUCUGAUGUUUUCAGGCUGAGACC
This 220-nucleotide small nucleolar RNA is filed under the name Dasypus novemcinctus (nine-banded armadillo). RNAcentral's name for it is "Small Cajal body specific RNA 6 (ENSDNOG00000029505.2)". It matches the Rfam family "Small Cajal body specific RNA 6". From Rfam's summary of the family: U88 is small Cajal body specific RNA (scaRNA). scaRNAs are a novel class of small nuclear RNAs which localise to the Cajal bodies. U88 is found associated with both fibrillarin and Gar1p and co-localises with coilin in Cajal bodies. The record is from RNAcentral. Lineage: Eukaryota; Metazoa; Chordata; Mammalia; Cingulata; Dasypodidae.